This is a long non-coding RNA of Nicotiana tabacum (common tobacco), 528 nucleotides long. RefSeq lists it as uncharacterized. NCBI's taxonomy places the organism in Eukaryota, Viridiplantae, Streptophyta, Magnoliopsida, Solanales, Solanaceae. The record is from RefSeq and is a predicted model, not a curated record.
GAGAUUUGAGUCCUUAGCCUUGUAGGAUUUUAAAAGAAAAAAAUAUAAGAUUUUGAGGGGAACAAGGAAACGCAACCUUGUUGCGGCUAAAACAGAAGCUGUAACAGUGGCAAAAAAUGCAGAGGAGGAACAACAGAGAAGACGAAAAAAGAGUAGUUGUUGGAACAACUUUGACAAGCAAAAGUGCAAAAGAUAAGAUUUUGAUAUUAAUAUUUACAAUCAAAAAAGAAGGAGAAUUGAACCUAUAUUGCAGCUCCAAGCGAAACAAUUCUUCGGCACAAAAAGAUUCAUUGGAGGAAGUUGUACGUUUGCUCGAGGUGAAGUAUUUGGUAAUUCGGCACGAGACUGUGAGUAGUAAUCUUACUGCAAUUUGUAUUUUCAUAACCUUCAUGGUUUAUACAUGAUUUUGAAAAAUAAAUGUGUUAGUGAAUGUUUGAAAUUGCAUGUGGGACAAGUCCUUUACUUGAUAUAGUACUGGAUAGUUUACUUGAGAGGUUUACAGUUAUUUAAAAUGUUCUCAUGUUACUA